UCAAACUUGGUCAUUUAGAGGAAGUAAAAGUCGUAACAAGGUCUCCGUUGGUGAACCAGCGGAGGGAUUAUUACUGAGUUAUCAAACUCCAAACCCAUGUGAACAUACCCCUUUGUUGCCUCGGCAGGCUGUGUUGCCCCGUGGAGCCUACCCUGUAGGAACCUACCCGGUAUCACGCUGAACGCCUGCCGGCGGCCUAAAAACUCUAGUUUGUCUUUGAAUCUCUGAAUCAACAACUAAAUAAGUUAAAACUUUCAACAACGGAUCUCUUGGUUCUGGCAUCGAUGAAGAACGCAGC
RNAcentral lists this unclassified non-coding RNA (298 nucleotides) under uncultured fungus. Its description in RNAcentral is "partial contains small subunit ribosomal RNA, internal transcribed spacer 1, and 5.8S ribosomal RNA". The stretch from base 1 to 73 matches the Rfam family "Eukaryotic small subunit ribosomal RNA", at positions 1759 to 1831 of the family's 1831-position model. The record is from RNAcentral. Lineage: Eukaryota; Fungi.